GACGAACGCUGGCGGCGUGCCUAAUACAUGCAAGUAGAACGCUGAAGCUUGGUGCUUGCACCGAGCGGAUGAGUUGCGAACGGGUGAGUAACGCGUAGGUAACCUGCCUGGUAGCGGGGGAUAUCUAUUGGAAACGAUAGCUAAUACCGCAUAACAGUAGAUAUCGCAUGAUAGCUACUUGAAAGGUGCAAAUGCACCACUACCAGAUGGACCUGCGUUGUAUUAGCUAGUUGGUGAGGUAACGGCUCACCAAGGCAACGAUACAUAGCCGACCUGAGAGGGUGAUCGGCCACACUGGGACUGCGACACGGCCCAGACUCCUACGGGAGGCAGCAGUAGGGAAUCUUCGGCAAUGGACGGAAGUCUGACCGAGCAACGCCGCGUGAGUGAAGAAGGUUUUCGGAUCGUAAAGCUCUGUUGUAAGAGAAGAACGAGUGUGAGAGUGGAAAGUUCACACUGUGACGGUAUCUUACCAGAAAGGGACGGCUAACUACGUG
RNAcentral lists this ribosomal RNA (497 nucleotides) under uncultured bacterium. RNAcentral's name for it is "partial 16S ribosomal RNA". It matches the Rfam family "Bacterial small subunit ribosomal RNA", at positions 28 to 507 of the family's 1533-position model. The record is from RNAcentral.